This 616-nucleotide ribosomal RNA is filed under the name Ophiocordyceps sinensis. Its description in RNAcentral is "eukaryotic LSU rRNA". The stretch from base 246 to 399 matches the Rfam family "5.8S ribosomal RNA". Lineage: Eukaryota; Fungi; Ascomycota; Sordariomycetes; Hypocreales; Ophiocordycipitaceae. The record is from RNAcentral.
GGAAGUAAAAGUCGUAACAAGGUUUCCGUGGGUGAACCUGCGGAAGGAUCAUUACAAUUCAGUAGCUUGCUACUGUAAGGAGGUGCUGUAAGCCCGCAUAGUUUAAUUACUGAUGAGCGGCAGGCCCUCUGUUUGUACCCUUGUCUUUUGCGCACUCAUGUUUCCUCGGCGGGCUUGCCCGCCGAUUGGACAAAACUAUAACCUUUUUAAUUUUCAAUCAGCGUCUGAAAAAACUUAAUAAUUACAACUUUCAACAACGGAUCUCUUGGUUCUGGCAUCGAUGAAGAACGCAGCGAAAUGCGAUAAGUAGUGUGAAUUGCAGAAUUCAGUGAAUCAUCGAAUCUUUGAACGCACAUUGCGCCCCUUGGUAUUCCAUGGGGCAUGCCUGUUCGAGCGUCAUUUGUACCUUCAAGCUCUGCUUGGUGUUGGGUGUUUGUCUCGCCUCUGCGUGUAGACUCGCCUCAAAACAAUUGGCAGCCGGCGUAUUGAUUUCGGAGCGCAGUACAUCUCGCGCUUUGCACUCAUAACGACGACGUCCAAAAGUACAUUUUUACACUCUUGACCUCGGAUCAGGUAGGGAUACCCGCUGAACUUAAGCAUAUCAAUAAGCGGAGGA